UCGGCCUCCGCGGCCGCUCGGCUCCGGGCUCGUCCUGCCGCGCGAUUCCCGGUGCCCGCGGGCGUCUCCUGCCCGCGCUAAGCCUCCACUGCAGCGACUCCACCCGUGUCCCCCACGCCGGCCGCGGCUCGCGCUGCGCGCUCCCUCGCUCGGGGCUGCGGCUUCCGCGGGACUCGUACGUUCAAAGGAAAACAUGUCGUCACCGCCUCCUCGAGAGUGUACGCAUGGCCGCGCUCUCCGCGGACCGAUUUACGCCGGGGACGGGGCUGAACGCACAGAAGGAACGCUGAAACCCGCGCGAAGCUCGCAACCUCCGACGCUGUUCCGCCUCCACCGUCUACAGCGAUCAUAAGGCCAGUCAACGCAUACAUGACGGCCCGGCGGUGUCAGCGAGCGCUGCGCAGCGGUGUGAAGAAUGAGAAAAGAAUUUGGCCCAGCGUGGUACCACACACCUGUCAUCCCAGCACUCUGCAGGCUGAGGCAGGAAGGACGCGUGUUUGAGAUCAGCCUGGGUAACGCAGCAGCUCAGCAAGACCCUGUUUCAGAAACAUCCAGGCUGCUCAGGGAGAAGGCCCUGAGUCCAAUCCCGUACAUUCACCCGCCAGAAGGAUGGCAUUCAUGAGGGACACGGACGUUUAUUUAGCGACCAUGUACUGAGGGAAAGUAAAUUACUCUAACAGUUAACUUUUUAUUACCUUUUUGCAUUUGAAUGCCGUAAGAAAUCAGAAACCUGAACUGCGCAUGGUGAUGCAUGCCUGUGAUCCCAGUGCUCGGGAGGCUGAGGCAGGAGGAUCGUUGCGAGUUUGAGAUCAGCCUGGGCUGCACAGUGAGCUCAAGGCCAGUCUCAGCCACACAGUGAGAUGCUGUCUCCAAAAAAAAAAAAAAAAAAAAAAGAAGGAAAACUGUGACUUGAAGCCAAACGAGCAUCCCUGAAACUGGAGCGAGACCGGGGGAGCCUCUCUCUGAGAACCCCGUUUUGCAGAAAGAAAUGGAAGCCCCGAGAAAUGUGAGUGGCUCCUCCAGGUCGUGUCAUCACAGUCCGGAUCGCGUGCAGACACAGCGAGCUCAGGACCCACGGAGAGGCUGCUGCGGAAUCACGGCUGCGGCGCCCCGGAAAAGGAAGUGCUGGGAUAAAUCGCUAAAGCCGCCGACUGCUAAGAGCAGGGCCGAGGCCCCGACCUGGCCGAGGCCCCCUGCGCGAGACCCAGGGCAGGCGCUGCGCACGUGCUCCUCGCCAUCCUGAGGCCCGCGGGGCUGUGCUACUCGUCAGAAUGCUCCAGCGAGAGACCCCACAACUAUAGUUUCCCGCCUCCUUCUCUGGCUGGGGCUGGAGGAAGUGACGACCAGGAGUGUCAGGGCUCGCUGUUGUACCCUCACGGGCACAGGAGGAAUGCCAGCGGCGCGGUGAGGCGCCUCCACAGUCGUUCUGGCCGUGCCCCCGAAUCCACUCAGGGUUCUGGUGCUGGUGGCCUGCACGUGGGAGUCUAACGUCCUUUGCGUAUUUUCGCACUGAAUGUUGGUAUUUACCAUCUUUGAUUUUUUUUUUUUCUUUUUUUUUCUUCUGUCGUUUUGAGACAGGGUCUCGCUACGCAUUUCAGGCUGAGCCGACUUUGUAGCCCAGGCUGGUCUUGAACUUGCAGCAAUUCUCCUGCCUCAGCCUCUCCAGUGCUGGGAUUGCCGGUGUGCGCCACCACGCCCUUUAUUUACCAUCUUGAGACAAACCACAGUGUCCUUAUUCCAUUUCCUUGUGCAAAAAAAAACCCUUAUUCAUUAUUCAAAAUUUUGCAUUUUCGCAACUCUUUCCUUUCUGCUCCCCAGAGAGACAGAAUUUUUAAGGCUUUCUUAAAAAUAAUUCCUUCCGGGGCUGGGGAUUUAGCUCAGUGGCACAGCGCCU
RNAcentral lists this long non-coding RNA (1894 nucleotides) under Chinchilla lanigera (long-tailed chinchilla). RNAcentral describes it as "lncRNA (ENSCLAG00000028583.1)". Lineage: Eukaryota; Metazoa; Chordata; Mammalia; Rodentia; Chinchillidae. The record is from RNAcentral.